UCGGCAAUGGACGAAAGUCUGACCGAGCGACGCCGCGUGCGGGAUGAAGGCCCUCGGGUUGUAAACCGCUGUCAGUUAGGAGGAAAUGCAUAAGGGUUCUCUCUUAUGUUUGACCGAUUUUCAGAGGAAGGACGGGCUAAGUUCGUGCCAGCAGCCGCGGUAAGACGAACCGUCCAAACGUUAUUCGGUAUCACUGGGCUUAAAGCGUGCGUAGGCGGCUUGGUAGGUGAGAUGUGAAAGCCCACGGCUCAACCGUGGAACAGCGUCUCAAACCCCCAAGCUCGAGGAAGAUAGGGGUGAUGGGAACUUAUGGUGGAGCGGUGAAAUGCGUUGAUAUCAUAGGGAACACCGGUGGCGAAAGCGCAUCACUGGGUCUUUUCUGACGCUGAGGCACGAAAGCUAGGGUAGCGAACGGGAUUAGAUACCCCGGUAGUCCUAGCCGUAAACGAUGAGCACUAGGUUGAGGGGGUCACAUCCUCUCGGCCGUAGCGAAAGCGUUAAGUGCUCCGCCUGGGGAGUAUGGUCGCAAGGCUGAAACUCAAAGGAA
Molecule: ribosomal RNA, 547 nt
Filed under: uncultured Planctomycetota bacterium
Lineage: Bacteria; Pseudomonadati; Planctomycetota
Description: bacterial SSU rRNA
Rfam family: Bacterial small subunit ribosomal RNA
Source: RNAcentral